UAAGUAAAUCGGAUAGUCGCGGGCUGGAAACAGUCUGAGGAAAGUCGGAGCUCCACAGGGCAGGGUGCUGGAUAACGUCCAGUGGGGGUGACCUCAAGGAAAGUGCCACAGAAAUAAACCGCCCGGCACUCAAAAGAAUUUAAUUGUUAAAAAAACAACAAAUUAACCAUUUCAGUCAUUGUUUUUAGCAAAUUAAAUUGCUUUGAGUGCCGGGUAAGGGUGGAACGGUGAGGUAAGAGCUCACCAGCAUUUAGGUGACUAAAUGGCUAGGCAAACCCCACCUGGAGCAAGACCAAAUAGAGGAACCAUGGAAUUGCCCGUUCCGUUCCCGGGUUAGGUCGCUUGAAGUACCAGGCAACUGGUAUUCCAGAUAGAUGACUAUCGAAAACAGAACUCCGCUUACAGAUUUACUUACUUU
This 418-nucleotide RNase P RNA is filed under the name Syntrophomonadaceae bacterium. RNAcentral describes it as "RNase P RNA component class A". It matches the Rfam family "Bacterial RNase P class A". From Rfam's summary of the family: Ribonuclease P (RNase P) is a ubiquitous endoribonuclease, found in archaea, bacteria and eukarya as well as chloroplasts and mitochondria. Its best characterised activity is the generation of mature 5'-ends of tRNAs by cleaving the 5'-leader elements of precursor-tRNAs. The record is from RNAcentral. Lineage: Bacteria; Bacillati; Bacillota; Clostridia; Eubacteriales; Syntrophomonadaceae.